CUUCAGUGAUGACACGAUGACGAGUCGGAACGGGACUCGGUCUGUUUCUGUGGGUCACUGGCUCAGAUCCACGUUUUGUGGUUCUGCUCCAGUUCUUCAGAGCAGUGAGUCCUUUUCAGUUGAAGACAUUGAGGCAUUUGUCUGAGAAGG
Solea solea (common sole) is the source of this 150-nucleotide small nucleolar RNA. The record is from RefSeq and is a predicted model, not a curated record. Lineage: Eukaryota; Metazoa; Chordata; Actinopteri; Pleuronectiformes; Soleidae.